CUUUUCUUUCGUACCUAUAUCACGCUAUUCAGAAGCAUAAAUGUUUUCUUAUGACUUGCACUAAGCUCGCAUUCAUUUUCCACGUUCGCACAUGGAAUUCAUAUUUUCGUACGUAUGUGUGUUACGCAUAUAUGAUGAUUAUUUGCACCGUUCCAAGCGGUAUCAAAUACGUGUAGGGCGCCUUUAGGCUUCUUUUGCGCAUUGAAAUAAAAUUAA
Molecule: long non-coding RNA, 216 nt
Organism: Dermacentor silvarum
Lineage: Eukaryota; Metazoa; Arthropoda; Arachnida; Ixodida; Ixodidae
Exons: 2
Source: RefSeq, a predicted model, not a curated record